CCUACGGGCGGCAGCAGUGGAGAAUAUUGGACAAUGGGCGAAAGCCUGAUCCAGCCAUGCCGCGUGUGUGAAGAAGGCCUUCGGGUUGUAAAGCACUUUCAGUGGGGAAGAAAGCCUUGGGGCUAAUACCCUCGAGGAAGGACAUCACCCACAGAAGAAGCACCGGCUAACUCCGUGCCAGCAGCCGCGGUAAUACGGAGGGUGCGAGCGUUAAUCGGAAUUACUGGGCGUAAAGCGCGCGUAGGCGGUCUGAUAAGCCGGUUGUGAAAGCCCCGGGCUCAACCUGGGAACGGCAUCCGGAACUGUCAGGCUAGAGUGCAGGAGAGGAAGGUAGAAUUCCCGGUGUAGCGGUGAAAUGCGUAGAGAUCGGGAGGAAUACCAGUGGCGAAGGCGGCCUUCUGGACUGACACUGACGCUGAGGUGCGAAAGCGUGGGUAGCAAACAGGAUUAGAUACCCUUGUAGUC
Molecule: ribosomal RNA, 465 nt
Filed under: Vreelandella stevensii
Lineage: Bacteria; Pseudomonadati; Pseudomonadota; Gammaproteobacteria; Oceanospirillales; Halomonadaceae
Description: partial 16S ribosomal RNA
Rfam family: Bacterial small subunit ribosomal RNA
Source: RNAcentral